UACGGAAGGGGCAAGCGUUGUUCGGAUUUACUGGGCGUAAAGGGCGCGUAGGCGGCGCAACAAGUCACUUGUGAAAUCUCCGGGCUUAACCCGGAGCGGCCAAGUGAUACUGUCGUGCUAGAGUGCGGAAGGGGCUACUGGAAUUCUCGGUGUAGCGGUGAAAUGCGUAGAUAUCGAGAGGAACACCUGCGGCGAAGGCGGGUAGCUGGGCCGACACUGACGCUGAGGCGCGAAAGCCAGGGGAGCGAACGGG
RNAcentral lists this ribosomal RNA (253 nucleotides) under uncultured bacterium. RNAcentral describes it as "partial 16S ribosomal RNA". It matches the Rfam family "Bacterial small subunit ribosomal RNA", at positions 524 to 776 of the family's 1533-position model. The record is from RNAcentral.